RNAcentral lists this transfer RNA (83 nucleotides) under Phycisphaerae bacterium. Its description in RNAcentral is "tRNA-Leu". It matches the Rfam family "tRNA". Rfam says of the family: Transfer RNA (tRNA) molecules are approximately 80 nucleotides in length. Their secondary structure includes four short double-helical elements and three loops (D, anti-codon, and T loops). Lineage: Bacteria; Pseudomonadati; Planctomycetota; Phycisphaerae. RNAcentral also lists the same sequence under 1 other name. The record is from RNAcentral.
GCCGGAGUGGCGGAAUGGCAGACGCGAUGGAUUCAAAAUCCAUUUCCCGCAAGGGAGUGUGGGUUCAAGUCCCUCCUCCGGCA